Molecule: ribosomal RNA, 510 nt
Filed under: uncultured bacterium
Lineage: Bacteria
Description: partial 16S ribosomal RNA
Rfam family: Bacterial small subunit ribosomal RNA
Source: RNAcentral
GACGAACGCUGGCGGCGUGCUUAACACAUGCAAGUCGAACGAAGAGCGAUGGAAGCUUUCUUCUAUCAAUCUUAGUGGCGAACGGGUGAGUAACGCGUAAUCAACCUGCCCUUCAGAGGGGGACAACAGUUGGAAACGACUGCUCAUACCGCAUACGAUCUAAUCUCGGCAUCGGGGAUAGAUGAAAGGUGGCCUCUACAUGUAAGCUAUCACUGAAGGAGGGGAUUGCGUCUGAUUAGCUAGUUGGAGGGGUAACGGCCCACCAAGGCGAUGAUCAGUAGCCGGUCUGAGAGGAUGAACGGCCACAUUGGGACUGAGACACGGCCCAGACUCCUACGGGAGGCAGCAGUGGGGAAUCGUCCGCAAUGGACGAAAGUCUGACGGAGCAACGCCGCGUGAGUGAUGACGGCCUUCGGGUUGUAAAGCUCUGUUAAUCGGGACGAAAGGCCUUCUUGCGAAUAGUGAGAAGGAUUGACGGUACCGGAAUAGAAAGCCACGGCUAACUACGUG